GGUUAAAUCACUUUCAUGUGUUAAUGGUAAAUAAUUCUCCAGCUAAAUUGGUUAACGAUGAAGCCUUAGUCAUAGCAACAAUGAGCAUGGGUGAUUGGUUGAGAGUUUUAGCUGACCAUUUCAGCCUAUCACAACGCCAACUGCUUGUAUGAAUUGGUAUGCUGAUGGCCAGGUACCCUUAUUUAGUGUUAAACUGCUCAAAAAUUAUCAUAGUAUUCACUGUGUCUCUGUAAUCACACAUGGCAAAUGACACAACUUCAAGUACCUAGAAACACACCUUCAUGGGAGAUGACACCCAAAUAAUCUUGAGGCUAAAAAAAAGUGAAGAAUGCAUAACAGAUACAUUAAUUCCCUAUUUAGACCACAGGGUACCAAGUUAUACAUCGACAUCGAGUAUGUCUCUAGUUCUUGCAUGUCUCUCUCUCUCUCAUCUCUAAGGGGGGAAUGAGGGUUAAGUUGACAGGGAUAUUGCACCAAAACCAUGUCAAUUAGAUAAAGUGGUGUAAGUGCCUAUAAUGUCCCUUUAAGGUACCCUCUGCACUAUAACUAUUAAAGGGCCCUGAUUUAAGGGCUCUUGUGAGUCCCACAACCACCCAAAGGGCCUCCACCACAGGCACAAUUGUGGGCUUUAUGUUGACAGCCAUAUACUAAAG
This is a non-coding RNA of Pelobates cultripes (western spadefoot toad), 653 nucleotides long. The record is from the annotation of a GenBank genome assembly. NCBI's taxonomy places the organism in Eukaryota, Metazoa, Chordata, Amphibia, Anura, Pelobatidae.